RNAcentral lists this ribosomal RNA (373 nucleotides) under uncultured organism. RNAcentral describes it as "partial 16S ribosomal RNA". It matches the Rfam family "Bacterial small subunit ribosomal RNA", at positions 527 to 896 of the family's 1533-position model. The record is from RNAcentral.
GUAGGUGGCAAGCGUUGUCCGGAAUUAUUGGGCGUAAAGCGCGCGCAGGUGGGUUCUUUAAGUCUGAUGUGAAAGCCCCCGGGCUCAACCGGGGAGGGUCAUUGGAAACUGGGGAACUUGAGUGCAGGAGAGGAAAGUGAAAUUCCACGUGUAGCGGUGAAAUGCGUAGAUAUGUGGAGGAACACCAGUGGCGAAGGCGACUUUCUGGCCUGUAACUGACACUGAGGCGCGAAAGCGUGGGGAGCAAACAGGAUUAGAUACCCUGGUAGUCCACGCCGUAAACGAUGAGUGCUAAGUGUUGGGGGGUUUCCGCCCCUCAGUGCUGCAGCUAACGCAUUAAGCACUCCGCCUGGGGAGUACGGUCGCAAGACUG